This 492-nucleotide ribosomal RNA is filed under the name uncultured bacterium. Its description in RNAcentral is "partial 16S ribosomal RNA". It matches the Rfam family "Bacterial small subunit ribosomal RNA", at positions 29 to 507 of the family's 1533-position model. The record is from RNAcentral.
AGUGAACGCUGGCGGUAUGCCUAACACAUGCAAGUCGAACGGCAGCACAGUAAGAUCUUGCUCUUACGGGUGGCGAGUGGCGGACGGGUGAGGAAUGCAUCGGAAUCUACUUUUUCGGGGGGGAUAACGUAGGGAAACUUACGCUAAUACCGCAUACGCCCUACGGGUGAAAGCAGGGGAUCUUCGGACCUUGCGCGAUUGAAUGAGCCGAUGUCGGAUUAGCUAGUUGGGGGGGUAAAGGCCCACCAAGGCGACGAUCGGUAGCUGGUCUGAGUGGAUGAUCGGCCACACUGGAACUGGGACACGGUCCAUGCUCCUACGGGGGGGAGCAGUGGGGAAUAUUGGGCAAUGGGCGGAAGCCUGACACAGCCAUACCGAGUGGGUGACGAAGGCCUUCGGGUUGUAAAGCCCUUUUGUUGGGAAAGAAAAGCAGCAGGUUAAUACCCAGCUGUUCUGACGGUACCCAAAGAAUAAGCACCGGCUAACUUCGUG